UACAGAGGGGGCAAGCGUUGUUCGGAAUUACUGGGCGUAAAGGGCGCGUAGGCGGCCUGUUAAGUCGAACGUGAAAUCCCCGGGCUCAACCCGGGAACUGCGUCCGAUACUGGCAGGCUUGAAUUCGGGAGAGGGAUGUGGAAUUCCAGGUGUAGCGGUGAAAUGCGUAGAUAUCUGGAGGAACACCGGUGGCGAAGGCGGCAUCCUGGACCGAUAUUGACGCUGAGGUGCGAAAGCGUGGGGAGCGAACAGG
This 253-nucleotide ribosomal RNA is filed under the name uncultured bacterium. Its description in RNAcentral is "partial 16S ribosomal RNA". It matches the Rfam family "Bacterial small subunit ribosomal RNA", at positions 524 to 776 of the family's 1533-position model. The record is from RNAcentral.